GGAGGAGUGGCAGAGUGGUCGAUUGCACCGGUCUUGAAAACCGGCGUGCGUGAAAGCGUACCGUGGGUUCGAAUCCCACCUCCUCCGCCA
Molecule: transfer RNA, 90 nt
Filed under: Rhodovulum iodosum
Lineage: Bacteria; Pseudomonadati; Pseudomonadota; Alphaproteobacteria; Rhodobacterales; Paracoccaceae
Also listed under: 30 other names
Description: tRNA-Ser
Rfam family: tRNA
About the family: Transfer RNA (tRNA) molecules are approximately 80 nucleotides in length. Their secondary structure includes four short double-helical elements and three loops (D, anti-codon, and T loops).
Source: RNAcentral